ACGGAAGGCAGCAGUGGGGAAUAUUGGGCAAUGGGCGAAAGCCUGACCCAGCAACGCCGCGUGGAGGAAGAAGGCCUUCGGGUUGUAAACUUCUUUUACCAGGGACGAAGGACGUGACGGUACCUGGAGAAAAAGCAACGGCUAACUACGUGCCAGCAGCCGCGGUAAUACGUAGGUUGCAAGCGUUGUCCGGAUUUACUGGGUGUAAAGGGCGUGUAGGCGGAGCUGCAAGUCAGAUGUGAAAUCCCGGGGCUCAACCCCGGAACUGCAUUUAAAACUGUAGCCCUUGAGUAUCGGAGAGGCAAGCGGAAUUCCUAGUGUAGCGGUGAAAUGCGUAGAUAUUAGGAGGAACACCAGUGGCGAAGGCGACUUACUGGGCCGUAACUGACGCUGAGGCGCGAAAGCGUGGGGAGCGAACAGGAUUAGAUACCCUGGUA
Molecule: ribosomal RNA, 437 nt
Filed under: uncultured Papillibacter sp.
Lineage: Bacteria; Bacillati; Bacillota; Clostridia; Eubacteriales; Oscillospiraceae
Description: partial 16S ribosomal RNA
Rfam family: Bacterial small subunit ribosomal RNA
Source: RNAcentral